Molecule: ribosomal RNA, 1757 nt
Filed under: metagenome
Description: bacterial LSU rRNA
Rfam family: Archaeal large subunit ribosomal RNA
Source: RNAcentral
GGGAAGGGGUUAAGUCGGCCACCGAUACCAAUGAACAUAUACCUUUGUAUAUGAUUUCGUAGAUAGGCGUCCUGUUGGAUUUGAAGCUGGGGUGUGAAUUCCAGUGGAUCUUGCAGGAAUGUGGAUCCUGGUAGUAGUAGCAGCAAAGUAAAGUGUGAAUCUUUAUCGCCGAAGGGGCUAGGGUUCCUUGGCAAUGUUCGUCAGCCAAGGGUUAGGCGGUCCUAAGGGUAACGGUAAUUCCAGUUAUUCGAAAGGGAAACAGGUUAAUAUUCCUGUCCAACACAAUUUACACGGCAACGUUUAUGUUGGAUAUUUUUGACACUUCGUGAUAUGCCUUGUAAGAUUGUCGUCUUAUUCAAAUUUUAGAAGCUAAGGGAGAACUGUAAUAGUGAGAACUUGGUGUAUUUAUGAUUGAGUCUCUCGUUUUUUUUGAGAGAUUAUCUGGUUGAUUCAUGGAGUCCUUGAAAAGAAAAUAUCCAUUUAUUUGAUUGUGUUUCCGUACCGAGAUCCGACACAGGUGCCCCUAGUUUAGUAGACUUAGGCGUGUUAGGGUAAACCAGCUAAGGGAAUUCGGCAAUUUAGCUCCGUAACUUUGGGAUAAGGAGUGCCAGCUACGUGUAGUAGCUGGUCGCAGUGACUAGGGAGGUUCGACUGUUUAAUAAAAACAUAGCUCCCAGCUAGCCCGUAAGGGUGUGUACUGGGGGCGACACCUGCCCAGUGCUGGCACGUGAAGCUGGGGUUCAACCUGGUGAAGCGCCAGUAAACGGCGGGGGUAACUAUAACCCUCUUAAGGUAGCGAAAUGCCUUGCCGGACAAGUACCGGCCUGCAUGAAUGGUAGAACGAAAUCUCCACUGUCCCUAGCUGGAACCUAGUGAACCUGCUAUUCUGGUGCACAAGCCAGAGACUUCUAUUGGGAAGCGAAGACCCCGUAGAGUUUUACUGCAGUCUGCUAUUGAGGCUUGGUUGCAAGUAUGCAGCGUAAGUAGGAGACUUCGACGGUAUGUCGUCAGGCAUAUCUGAGUCAUUCAUGAGACACUACUUUCUUGUGACUGUGUUUCUAACAUAGCUAUUUUUUUUAGGUUAUGGACAUUGGUAGAUGGGCAGUUCGGCUGGGGCGGUACGCGUUUGAAAAGAUAUCAAACGCGCCCAAAGGUUGGUUCAAGUGGGACAGAGAUCCACUGUAGAGUGUAAGGGCAUAAGCCAGCCUGACUGUAUUUCGAACAGUAAGAAAUUCAGAGGCGAAAGCCGGGCCUAACGAACCUCAAUGUCCUCGUCGAUGGGGGCUUGAGAUGACAGAAAAACUACCUCGGGGAUAACUGGGUGGUCGCAGGCAAGAGCCCAUAUCGACCCUGCGGCUUGCUACUUCGAUGUCGGUUCUUUCCAUCCUGGGUGUGCAGCAGCACCCAAGGGUGGGGCUGUUCGCCCAUUAAAGGGGAACGUGAGCUGGGUUAGACCGUCGUGAGACAGGUUGGUUGCUAUCUAAUAGAAGUGUUUUGUUGCUUGAGCGGAAGGUGGUUCCAGUACGAGAGGAACGAGCCGUCGGUGUCUCUGGUCUACCAGUUGUCUGAUAAGGCAUCGCUGGGCAGCUACGCACUAUGAUAAUAAAGGCUGAAAGCAUCUAAGCCUGAGGUAUUCCGUGAAAAUAAGCAGCUUUUUUAGGGUAUGAGUAGAAGACUUGUUUGAUGGGAUUGGGAUGUAAGCUUCGAGAUUCUUUGUUUUCGAGUUGUUAAGCCCGCAAUUUCCAACACCCGAUUUC